GAAGAGUUUGAUCAUGGCUCAGAUUGAACGCUGGCGGCAGGCCUAACACAUGCAAGUCGAACGGUAACAGGAAGCAGCUUGCUGCUUUGCUGACGAGUGGCGGACGGGUGAGUAAUGUCUGGGAAACUGCCUGAUGGAGGGGGAUAACUACUGGAAACGGUGGCUAAUACCGCAUAACGUCGCAAGACCAAAGAGGGGGACCUUCGGGCCUCUUGCCAUCAGAUGUGCCCAGAUGGGAUUAGCUUGUUGGUGAGGUAACGGCUCACCAAGGCGACGAUCCCUAGCUGGUCUGAGAGGAUGACCAGCCACACUGGAACUGAGACACGGUCCAGACUCCUACGGGAGGCAGCAGUGGGGAAUAUUGCACAAUGGGCGCAAGCCUGAUGCAGCCAUGCCGCGUGUAUGAAGAAGGCCUUCGGGUUGUAAAGUACUUUCAGCGGGGAGGAAGGUGUUGUGGUUAAUAACCGCAGCAAUUGACGUUACCCGCAGAAGAAGCACCGGCUAACUCCGUGCCAGCAGCCGCGGUAAUACGGAGGGUGCAAGCGUUAAUCGGAAUUACUGGGCGUAAAGCGCACGCAGGCGGUCUGUCAAGUCGGAUGUGAAAUCCCCGGGCUCAACCUGGGAACUGCAUUC
This 633-nucleotide ribosomal RNA is filed under the name Salmonella enterica. RNAcentral's name for it is "bacterial SSU rRNA". It matches the Rfam family "Bacterial small subunit ribosomal RNA", at positions 1 to 628 of the family's 1533-position model. RNAcentral also lists the same sequence under 1 other name. The record is from RNAcentral. Lineage: Bacteria; Pseudomonadati; Pseudomonadota; Gammaproteobacteria; Enterobacterales; Enterobacteriaceae.